UGCGUUUUGGGUCCACGAUAAGCGGUGACAACACGGCGUUGAAGCACCUCAUAAACAGCCUUCCUCCCAGAGUGCUGCAAGGCCACGUCCGUACGGCUCCAAUGCAGUGUCCCUUCAACUGCUAUCCCUGGUUACCCACUUGGAAGAACGCCUACCGUCUGAUCUUCUCGCCUCUCAAGAGCUGGAAAGGAGGACUUUAUGGUGCACCUUGCGGGCUUAGAUGAGAAGAAGAAAUGGGCUGCCAGGAUACAAAGUGAAUUAAGAGCUUGAAGGCUUAUGCGUAUGGGAGUGCAGGAAGGGCAUGCUUGGUACUAAUUGUUAUUCAGCCAUGGAUCUAUCCGUUGUGGAACUCUUGCAAUGUUUCACUACUUUAUUACCUACUUACGAGUCUUGGCGAGACUCCCAUAAUUGUAGCUUUCGUGAAGUACUUGAAUUAUUGAAUUAAUGUAAUUUAUCCUACCAUUGAACUGUGAUCGGAAAAGUAAUAAUUUAUAAAUGAAUUUCACCAAAUACAGUAAUUGGAGAGAUUUAGCUGCAA
Non-coding RNA from Elaeis guineensis (African oil palm), 538 nucleotides. Lineage: Eukaryota; Viridiplantae; Streptophyta; Magnoliopsida; Arecales; Arecaceae. The record is from RefSeq and is a predicted model, not a curated record.